GGGAGAUUGGUGUAUCGGUAACAUAGGGGUCUCCAAAACCUCUGCGCCAGGUUCGAUUCCUGGAUCUCCCG
This 71-nucleotide transfer RNA is filed under the name Patulibacter sp. RNAcentral's name for it is "tRNA-Trp". It matches the Rfam family "tRNA". From Rfam's summary of the family: Transfer RNA (tRNA) molecules are approximately 80 nucleotides in length. RNAcentral also lists the same sequence under 1 other name. Lineage: Bacteria; Bacillati; Actinomycetota; Thermoleophilia; Solirubrobacterales; Patulibacteraceae. The record is from RNAcentral.